UACGUAAGGUGCAAGCGUUAAUCGGAAUUACUGGGCGUAAAGCGUGCGCAGGCGGUUUUGUAAGCCAGAUGUGAAAUCCCCGGGCUUAACCUGGGAAUGGCAUUUGGGACUGCAAGGCUUGAGUGCGGCAGAGGAGACUGGAAUUCCUGGUGUAGCAGUGAAAUGCGUAGAUAUCAGGAGGAAAACCGAUGGCGAAGGCAGGUCUCUGGGCUGACACUGACGCUCAUGCACGAAAGCGUGGGGAGCAAACAGG
This 253-nucleotide ribosomal RNA is filed under the name uncultured bacterium. RNAcentral describes it as "partial 16S ribosomal RNA". It matches the Rfam family "Bacterial small subunit ribosomal RNA", at positions 524 to 776 of the family's 1533-position model. The record is from RNAcentral.